UAUCUUUUACGGGAAUUGAACCCGUAUUUUAGCCUUGAAAAGGCCACGUCCUGACCAUUAGACGAAAAAGAC
This 72-nucleotide transfer RNA is filed under the name Prasiola crispa. RNAcentral's name for it is "tRNA-Glu". Lineage: Eukaryota; Viridiplantae; Chlorophyta; Trebouxiophyceae; Prasiolales; Prasiolaceae. The record is from RNAcentral.